This 64-nucleotide transfer RNA is filed under the name Amaga expatria. Its description in RNAcentral is "tRNA-Pro". The record is from RNAcentral. Lineage: Eukaryota; Metazoa; Platyhelminthes; Tricladida; Geoplanidae.
CUGAAAAUAGUUUAAAAAAAAUAUAGGCUUUGGGAGCUUAAGAUUAAUUAUAAUUAUUUUUUGA